CUUCCACUGUUGAAUACAAUCUUUUUGACAGAUGAGAUACUGUAUAGCAUUUAUUGGUCAGUCCUACAAACUUCGAAGUAAAUCAUGUUCUUGUGUCUAAUCUGGCUGGUCUUUAAAUGGCACAUUGCAUAUUCUGAGGAUCUGAUCACACCAUUCACGGAUGAAGUGCUGGCUUUUGAAGGAGAAAGAGUCAUUCUCUCCUGUAACUACUCCGGAGCAGCUACUAGCCUCCAGUGGUAUCUCCAGAAUCCCAGAUCAGCUCCACAGUUCUUCACCAUGGAGCACAUGGACAAUAAACCUGGAUUCUCUGUAAAACAUGAGAGAGAUAAGAAAUAUGUUCACCUGGAGAUCUCCUCUGCGAAAGUGACAGACUCUGCUCUGUACUACUGUGCUCUGGAGCCCACAGUGACAGGAAGCCCAGACACACUGUACAAAAACCCUGACAUAGUAAGGGGGGAGGGGCCUCACAUAUCUCACUCACAGUAACACUUAGAGGAAUGCCUGAGAGGAAAGACACAUGCAGCAGUCUCUGUGAA
This is a non-coding RNA of Osmerus eperlanus (European smelt), 536 nucleotides long. Lineage: Eukaryota; Metazoa; Chordata; Actinopteri; Osmeriformes; Osmeridae. The record is from the annotation of a RefSeq genome assembly.